UAAUACGGGGGGAGCAAACGUUGUUCGGAAUCACUGGGCGUAAAGGGCGCGUAGGCGGUCCUGUUAGUGGUGUGUGAAAUCCGAUGGCUCAACCAUCGAGCUGCGCCCCAAACUGCAGGACUUGAGUACAGCAGAGGAAAGUGGAAUUCCCGGUGUAGCGGUGAAAUGCGUAGAUAUCGG
RNAcentral lists this ribosomal RNA (180 nucleotides) under uncultured bacterium. RNAcentral describes it as "partial 16S ribosomal RNA". It matches the Rfam family "Bacterial small subunit ribosomal RNA", at positions 521 to 700 of the family's 1533-position model. The record is from RNAcentral.